This 652-nucleotide ribosomal RNA is filed under the name uncultured Flavobacteriales bacterium. RNAcentral describes it as "bacterial SSU rRNA". It matches the Rfam family "Bacterial small subunit ribosomal RNA", at positions 58 to 703 of the family's 1533-position model. Lineage: Bacteria; Pseudomonadati; Bacteroidota; Flavobacteriia; Flavobacteriales. The record is from RNAcentral.
CAAGUCGAACGGUAACAGAUCUAGCUUGCUAGAUGCUGACGAGUGGCGCACGGGUGCGUAACGCGUAUGCAAUCUACCUAUAACUUAGGAAUAGCCCAGAGAAAUUUGGAUUAAAACCUUAUAAUAUUAUUAUUUGGCAUCAUUUAAUAAUUAAAACUCCGGUGGUUAUAGAUGAGUAUGCGUUCUAUUAGUUUGUUGGUGAGGUAACGGCUCACCAAGACUACGAUAGAUAGGGGGCCUGAGAGGGUGAUCCCCCACACUGGUACUGAGACACGGACCAGACUCCUACGGGAGGCAGCAGUGAGGAAUAUUGCGCAAUGGAGGAAACUCUGACGCAGCCAUACCGCGUGUAGGAAGAAUGUCCUAUGGAUUGUAAACUACUUUUAUACAAGAAGAAACCCCAGUACGUGUACUGGGCUGACGGUAUUGUAAGAAUAAGCACCGGCUAACUCCGUGCCAGCAGCCGCGGUAAUACGGAGGGUGCAAGCGUUAUCCGGAUUUAUUGGGUUUAAAGGGUCCGCAGGCGGGAUUCUAAGUCAGUGGUGAAAGCCUACAGCUUAACUGUAGAACUGCCAUUGAAACUGGAAUUCUUGAGUGUGGUUGAAGUAGACGGAAUAUGUCAUGUAGCGGUGAAAUGCAUAGAUAUGACAUA